GAAACCGGGAUUAAAACCUCAUGACACCUCUUAAAGACAUCUUUGAGAGGUCAAAGAUUUAUCGGCAAAGGAUGGGCCUGCGUCUGAUUAGCUAGUUGGUGGGGUAACGGCCUACCAAGGCGACGAUCAGUAGCCGACCUGAGAGGGUGAUCGGCCACAUUGGAACUGAGACACGGUCCAAACUCCUACGGGAGGCAGCAGUGGGGAAUAUUGCACAAUGGGGGAAACCCUGAUGCAGCAACGCCGCGUGAAGGAAGAAGGCCUUUGGGUCGUAAACUUCUGUUCUAAGGGAAGAUAAUGACGGUACCUUAGGAGCAAGUCCCGGCUAACUACGUGCCAGCAGCCGCGGUAAUACGUAGGGGGCAAGCGUUAUCCGGAAUUAUUGGGCGUAAAGAGUACGUAGGUGGUUACCUAAGCACGAGGUAUAAGGCAAUGGCUUAACCAUUGUUCGCCUUGUGAACUGGGCUACUUGAGUGCAGGAGAGGAAAGCGGAAUUCCUAGUGUAGCGGUGAAAUGCGUAGAUAUUAGGAGGAACACCAGUGGCGAAGGCGGCUUUCUGGACUGUAACUGACACUGAGGUACGAAAGCGUGGGGAGCAAACAGGAUUAGAUACCCUGGUAGUCCACGCCGUAAACGAAGAGCACUAGGUGUCGGGGUCGCAAGACUUCGGUGCC
RNAcentral lists this ribosomal RNA (674 nucleotides) under uncultured bacterium. RNAcentral's name for it is "bacterial SSU rRNA". It matches the Rfam family "Bacterial small subunit ribosomal RNA", at positions 153 to 847 of the family's 1533-position model. The record is from RNAcentral.